This 374-nucleotide ribosomal RNA is filed under the name uncultured eukaryote. RNAcentral describes it as "SSU rRNA". It matches the Rfam family "Eukaryotic small subunit ribosomal RNA", at positions 587 to 972 of the family's 1831-position model. The record is from RNAcentral.
AGCUCCAAUAGCGUAUACUAAAGUUGUUGCAGUUAAAAAGCUCGUAGUUGGAUUUCUGGUCGAGAGGGACGUCCACUCUUUGCAGUGUCAAACCUCUCAAUCAUCCUGUCACGAACCACGCUAUUCUUAACUGAGUGGCGUCGGGGAUUGAUUCAUUUACUUUGAGAAAAAUAGAGUGUUCAAAGCAGGCAUCCGCCUUGAAUAAGUUAGCAUGGAAUAAUGAUAAAGGACUUCGGUUCUAUUUGUUGGUGUUCGGAAUUGAAGUAAUGAUUGAUAGGGACAGUUGGGGGCAUCAGUAUUUCAAAGCGAGAGGUGAAAUUCUAGGACCUUUGGAAGACUAACCGCUGCGAAAGCGUUUGCCAAGGAUGUUCCCU